AAACCAACAGGGAUUGCCUCAGUAACGGCGAGUGAAGCGGCAAAAGCUCAACUUUGGAAUCGCUCCGGCGAGUUGUAGUCUGAAGAGAGACACUACGGGGGGAGAUUUACGGCCAAGUCCUUUGGAACAAGGCGCCAGUGAGGGUGACAGCCCCGUGGCCGGACAAUCUCCUUCUCUGUGUUUUUUCAACGAGUCGAGUUGUUUGGGAAUGCAGCUCUAAGUGGGUGGUAAAUUCCAUCUAAAGCUAAAUACCGGCGAGAGACCGAUAGCGAACAAGUACAGUGAUGGAAAGAUGAAAAGCACUUUGAAAAGAGAGUGAAACAGUACGUGAAAUUGUUGAAAGGGAAGGGCUUGCACCCAGACACGGCCUCGGCCGGGCCAGCAUCUGGUGGUAAGGAGUGAAAAUGGGCGACCAAUGUAGCAACGCCUUCGGGCGCUGUAUUAUAGGGUCGUCUGACGGCUCCCCUACCGCCAGAGGACUGCAAUCUACGGAUGCUGGCGCAAUGGUUGCAAGCCAC
Molecule: ribosomal RNA, 518 nt
Filed under: [Candida] sp.
Lineage: Eukaryota; Fungi; Ascomycota; Saccharomycetes; Saccharomycetales
Description: Candida sp. (in: Saccharomycetales) partial large subunit ribosomal RNA
Rfam family: Eukaryotic large subunit ribosomal RNA
Source: RNAcentral